CCCUUAGAUGUCCUGGGCCGCACGCGCGCUACACUGACGGAGCCAGCGAGCGUGUCCUUCGCCGAAAGGUGCGGGUAAUCUUGGCAGCCUCCGUCGUGCUGGGGAUAGAUGGUUGCAAUUAUUGAUCUUGAACGAGGAAUUCCUAGUAAGCGCGAGUCACCAGCUCGCGUUGAUUACGUCCCUGCCCUUUGUACACACCGCCCGUCGCUACUACCGAUUGAACGGUUUAGUGAGGGCCUCGGAUUGGUCUCGGCCCGCUCUUUACCGGGCGGCGCCGUUGGUCGAGAAGACGCUCGAACUUGAUCGUUUAGAGGAAGUAAAAGUCGUAACA
RNAcentral lists this ribosomal RNA (331 nucleotides) under uncultured eukaryote. RNAcentral's name for it is "partial 18S ribosomal RNA". It matches the Rfam family "Eukaryotic small subunit ribosomal RNA", at positions 1470 to 1796 of the family's 1831-position model. The record is from RNAcentral.